CUUACAUGUAUCACUCCGCUUUGCAGGUGUUCUAACAACCGUUAAUUAGCGAUACAUUAACGGCCGCUAUCUAUCUUAGAUUGUAACAAACUUUGCACCCCAAAGAUAAAUACAUUUCCAGAAAUAACAUUUGAAUUUGAAUUAAAUUAUGUAUGGUCGUCAAAAGAGGAUAAAGGGAAGAAGCCUGAAUACUUCAGCGAACCCCUGAGUUUCUACCUGGAGCAAUGUUCCACCCUCAGCACCAUCUGAUUGGUUUACGUCACGAGUAAUAGCCAAUGAUGCUGAAGGCUGCUGUGUACACAGACGGACACAGACGAGGGUUCCGGCUAACAAGUUGAGCUGUGUGUCAAAGUUCAGAUGCAGGGAGGUGCUACCCUAACACACUGGUGCCUGUUUGGACCCUGGUACUCCUGAGCCUCAGCACUGAUGCCUGACCUGAAUUAGUGCUGUGAAGUCAACCAUAGAAAUGACUCAGUGGCACUCCAUGCUGGAAGAGGAGGAGUAGGAGGAGUGAGAGUGAGAAAGAGGUCUCACUGCCCACAUCAGGUGUCAUAGGGAAAAGACUGAGGGAGAUGCUGAACGUGUUAGUACAUCCAGAGUUGUCGAUGUCAAGCGUACAGCUUUAAAUAACUUAAGUGGCACCUGCUUGGCAAUUGUACGUGCAAUGUGGGGUUUUAUGUAAUUUAGUGAACUGAUUCACAUUGUCAACAUUGUACAAUUGUGAUUGUACACUGACUGUAUAGUUUCUGGAUUUAAUGCAAAUUUAAUUUAUACCAAAAUACAUGUAACAGCAUGUGGGAGGUGUUUGUACCUGUGAAAGUGCACAUUCCAACUCAUACCCAUAAAUUACAUGAAAUGUGCUCAGGCACGCUACCGUCUCUCAUCGAAAAGACCUACAGCUCUCCCUAUCUGAUGUUCUAUGUCUCUGCCUCUCUAUCAAGUAAUCAGUUGAUGUGGGCUUGAGGCUAUUAUGAAAAAUAACCUCACCAGUCAACAGUUACACACUGCUCUGAGCCUAUGGUUUACCAGGGAGGUGAAAAUACCCGAGUACUGCAGUCCAAAACCCCAGCUCAAAUUACUGUUGUUACAUCAAACAUCUCCUUUGGUCACGAUAAUAAUAACCACAGCUCUCGGGGAAAACAAGGCCUGUGACACUCGAGAGUGCAUGGAAACAGGGGUACAGAGACCUGAAAUAUAACUCCCCUGAAAAACUCAUAGCUCAUGGUUGACCAUUUUAAUCUCCCCCCUCAUUCAUCAGAUCCCCCACUAUGUGGAGCUGCUGCCAGGGACCCUCAUCUGCCCACCCCACACAGUACCACAGACCCUGGGAAGCAGCCAGACCUGCAAUGAAGGAGGGUCACUUGAGGGUCAAAGCAGAAGCAACCAUGUUAGUUUUGUACAUGCAUGCAUAAAUAUAAAAAGUACUCAUCUGCAGGUGAUGCAGUAGCAGGGCAGGAAGUAGUUGGUUCUUUUAAAAACAAACACACUGAUUUCGAGAUGCAGUUUCUGUCUUUUAAUAACAAAAAAAUUGACAAUAUAAAAAAGUAUGUGAUGACAACCAUAAUAAAAUACUUAAACUGCUAUGGCAACAAAAACA
Seriola aureovittata is the source of this 1597-nucleotide long non-coding RNA. RefSeq lists it as uncharacterized. The transcript has 3 exons. The record is from RefSeq and is a predicted model, not a curated record. NCBI's taxonomy places the organism in Eukaryota, Metazoa, Chordata, Actinopteri, Carangiformes, Carangidae.